Molecule: ribosomal RNA, 476 nt
Filed under: uncultured bacterium
Lineage: Bacteria
Description: partial 16S ribosomal RNA
Rfam family: Bacterial small subunit ribosomal RNA
Source: RNAcentral
GGUGAACGCUGGCGGCGUGCUUAAGACAUGCAAGUCGAACGGCAGUCUUCGGACUGUAGUGGCGCACGGGUGAGUAACGCGUAACUGACCUACCCCAGAGUCGCGGAUAACGAUUCGAAAGAAUCGCUAAUACGUGAUGUGCUGUCAGAUUGUGUUCUGCCAGUAAAGAUUGAUUGCUUUGGGAUGGGGUUGCGUUCCAUCAGCUAGCUGGUGGGGUAAAGGCCCACCAAGGCGACGACGGAUAGCCGGCCUGAGAGGGUGGCCGGCCACAGGGGCACUGAGACACGGGUCCCACUCCUACGGUAGGCAGCAGUUAGGAAUCUUCCACAAUGGGCGAAAGCCUGAUGGAGCGACGCCGCGUGAGGGAUGAAGGUCUUCAGAUCGUAAACCUCUGAAUCAGGGACGAAAGACACUUCGGUGGGAUGACGGUACCUGAGUAAUAGCACCGGCUAACUCCGUGCCAGCCGCCGCGGUAA